ACGAACGCUGGCGGCGUGCUUAACACAUGCAAGUCGAACGGUGAAGCGCCUUCCUUUUUGGUGGGUGUGGAUGAGUGGCGAACGGGUGAGUAACACGUGAGUAACCUGCCCCCUUCUUCUGGAUAACCGCAUGAAAGUGUGGCUAAUACGGGAUAUUCUGGGUCUGUCGCAUGAUGGGUCUGGGAAAGAUAUUGUUUCGGUGGGGGAUGGGCUCGCGGCCUAUCAGCUUGUUGGUGGGGUGAUGGCCUACCAAGGCGGUGACGGGUAGCCGGCCUGAGAGGGUGGACGGUCACACUGGGACUGAGACACGGCCCAGACUCCUACGGGAGGCAGCAGUGGGGAAUAUUGAACAAUGGGCGCAAGCCUGAUGCAGCGACGCCGCGUGAGGGAUGGAGGCCUGCGGGUUGUGAACCUCUUUCGCCAGUGAAGCAGGCCUGCCUCGUUUGUGGGUGGGUUGACGGUAGCUGGAUAAGAAGCGCCGGCUAACUACGUG
This 493-nucleotide ribosomal RNA is filed under the name uncultured bacterium. RNAcentral's name for it is "partial 16S ribosomal RNA". It matches the Rfam family "Bacterial small subunit ribosomal RNA", at positions 29 to 507 of the family's 1533-position model. The record is from RNAcentral.